This 1762-nucleotide long non-coding RNA is filed under the name Mus musculus (house mouse). Its description in RNAcentral is "predicted gene, 33497". Lineage: Eukaryota; Metazoa; Chordata; Mammalia; Rodentia; Muridae. The record is from RNAcentral.
CUUCCCUGAUAUUUGGCGCACCAGUGAGGGGCAGAAAACUAAGCAGAGAAAACAAGGAAACUGCAAGGAAGUGAUAGUUUCCUAGCAACCAUGAAACUGUUAUGGCUGGCUGUGGGCUGGCAGACUGUGGCCCAGAACCUGGAAGAAGGUGGAGCCCACAGGAAUAGCCCACUGGACUGUGAGCUGAGUGGAUGGAGCCUGCCCGUCAUCACCUCGAGCUACCCUGAGGAGCCCCUGCUGCUGUGAGGAAAGAGUGCCUUCCUAAAACCGGUGCAGUAUGCUUGGGACUGGCAAUCCCCAGAAGAUAGAGUUUAUAGAAAUAGCCAAAAGACCAGACUGCAAUGAAGACAAAGCAAGCCGCCCAGGUGAUCCAGCCCCACAGACAACCUCAGCUGCUGUUUCCUCAAAGGUUGCAUCCAGGACGACUUCAAAGUGACUUUCAUCAAACUGCCCAGCCUCACAGACUACUUCAUCCAGGACUUCAGUUAAGCCAUGCACUUUCCUAUCCCACAGAGACUGGACAACAAGGGAAACAGCCAGGUCUCCCAGUACUUGAACAGUAUCCCAAUUUUCAUAGGGUCCCCAAAAGACUGCUUAGCUCCCAGAGAGCAGGAAGCAAUUUAAAGAACAAGAUGCUCUCAUUCCUAAGAGGUGGAUCUGAAAGUCCUGCUAUGCUUCAGUGUGGGAAAGCAAGCUAUGACUUUUUGCUUGACAUGUCUGGCUAUUGUAACCAAAGGCAGCAGAGUCCCAUCUCAACAGGAUCUCUCCCUGAUCUGGAACUCACAGACUUGGCUAGACUGGCCAGCAUGUCCCAGAACUCUGCGCAUCCCAGCCAGGCACACCCAGCGUGGAUGGCACACCCAGCGUGAGUGGAUGUCGGGAUCUAGACCCAGUGCCUCAGGCUUCAGGGCAGGCAGUUUAACCUGCUGGGCCAUCGCUAACACCCAGGAAUGUCUUAUAUACUGAAACUUUCACAUAUACUGAGAGCUUGAUUUCUUUAAAAAUGUGUUAGUUUAAGCUUCUUCUAUAGCCACAUGGUGAACGUGCUUUGCAAAUUGCAACAAAAUCAGAAAAGUGUGCCCAGUAGAAUUCUCUCUUCCUUCACAUCAUUUCGUCAGAAACAGAAGAAAAAAAAAUGUAAAUUGCCUAAAUGGGAGGAGAGAAGCUGUUGUUUGUUUUCACGAAGUUAAUCCAGUCUGUAAAGCAGUAAGGCAAAGCCAUACUCUUAGCCAGAGUUGCAUAAUCUUCAAAGAAGAGUCCCUGGAGAGUCAUAAGCAGAAUUGUUGAUUCAACACCCACACGUGCUAUGCAAGACUCUUGGCCUGUGCCCAGCCUGCUUGGGACAAGGUAUUCACAAGCUCCUGCACACUGCCAAGGAGAGGGGACGCCAGAUAAAACAAGAGAACCUCUGGAGUUUCCCCUUCCCAUUUUGUUGUUGUGAAUGUAGACUUCAAAGCCAGACACUGUAACCCUCAUCUUACAGUCAAGAGUGACAAGCAUGGGGGUGGGAAGAAAAUGCAGUACCCAGCAGUCUGCUCAUAGAACAUAAAAACAUUCUGUCUGUGUGCUGAUUCACCAGAUCUCGAGCCAGCUCCCUCCAGUCACUGCUUAAGGAAGGCAAUGUAAGCUGUGAAGCUGUCCUCUUUUCUCUUACUUGCCUUUAAGCACUUCCUAAAGGGUGUCUUUUCUGCUCUCCACAGUAGGUCGGACAGUGGCUUUGUCUUUAAAUGGGUUAUUCCCAAGCACUUAGCUUAGAAUGUGG